RNAcentral lists this ribosomal RNA (253 nucleotides) under uncultured bacterium. Its description in RNAcentral is "partial 16S ribosomal RNA". It matches the Rfam family "Bacterial small subunit ribosomal RNA", at positions 524 to 776 of the family's 1533-position model. The record is from RNAcentral.
UACGAAGGGGGCUAGCGUUGCUCGGAAUUACUGGGCGUAAAGGGCGCGUAGGCGGAUAUCUAAGUUGGGGGUGAAAUCCCGGGGCUCAACCUCGGAAUUGCCUUCAAAACUGGAUAUCUUGAGUUCGGGAGAGGUGAGUGGAACUCCGAGUGUAGAGGUGAAAUUCGUAGAUAUUCGGAAGAACACCAGUGGCGAAGGCGACUCACUGGACCGGUAUUGACGCUGAGGUGCGAAAGCGUGGGGAGCAAACAGG